Molecule: ribosomal RNA, 115 nt
Filed under: Methanobacteriota archaeon
Lineage: Archaea; Methanobacteriati; Methanobacteriota
Also listed under: 3 other names
Source: RNAcentral
UACGGCGGUCAUAGCGGAGGGGAUACACCCGUUCCCAUGCCGAACACGGAAGUUAAGCCUUCCAGCGUAUUGGACUGUACUACCUUCUGGUGGGAACUCCAAUUCGCCGCCGGCU